Molecule: transfer RNA, 66 nt
Filed under: Haedus sp.
Lineage: Eukaryota; Metazoa; Arthropoda; Insecta; Hemiptera; Tingidae
Description: tRNA-Met
Source: RNAcentral
AAAAAGAUAAGCUAAAUUUAAGCUAUUAGGUUCAUACCCUAAAUAUAGGUAUAUACCUUCUUUUUA